UGCUGGUUGACCGCAUUUACCGAACACACCCACUUUCAGGCUCAUAACCUGAAGGUCGCAGGUUCAAAUCCUGCCCCCGCAACCA
RNAcentral lists this transfer RNA (85 nucleotides) under Azospirillum sp. TSH7. RNAcentral's name for it is "tRNA-Met". The record is from RNAcentral. Lineage: Bacteria; Pseudomonadati; Pseudomonadota; Alphaproteobacteria; Rhodospirillales; Azospirillaceae. RNAcentral also lists the same sequence under 1 other name.